Molecule: ribosomal RNA, 433 nt
Filed under: uncultured bacterium
Lineage: Bacteria
Description: partial 16S ribosomal RNA
Rfam family: Bacterial small subunit ribosomal RNA
Source: RNAcentral
AACGAACGCUGGCGGCAUGCCUAACACAUGCAAGUCGAACGAGACCUCCGGAACAAGUGGCGCACGGGUGCGUCACGUGUGGGAACCUGCACUUAGGCUCGGAAUAACUCCUUGUCAGGGGUGCUAAUAUCGGGUAACGUACUCGGAUAAAAGAUUCAUCGUCUUUGGGGGGGCACGCGUUGGUUUAGCCGGUGGGUAGGGUAAAAGCCUACCACGGGGUCGCUACAUAGCUGGUCUGAGAGGAUGAGCAGCCACACUGGGACUGAGACACGGCACAGACUCCUGCAGGAGGCAGCAGUGGGGAAUAUUGGACAAUGGGCGAAAGCCUGAUCCAGCAAUGCUGCGUGAGUGAUGAAGGCCUUAGGGUUGUAAAGCUCUUUUACCCGGGAUGAUAAUGACAGUACCGGGAGAAUAAGCUCCGGCUAACUCCGUG